GACGAACGCUGGCGGCUUGCUUAACACAUGCAAGUCGAACGGUGAAGCGCCUUCCUUUUUGGUGGGUGUGGAUGAGUGGCGAACGGGUGAGUAACACGUGAGUAACCUGCCCCCUUCUUCUGGAUAACCGCAUGAAAGUGUGGCUAAUACGGGAUAUUCUGGGUCUGUCGCAUGAUGGGUCUGGGAAAGAUAUUGUUUCGGUGGGGGAUGGGCUCGUGGCCUAUCAGCUUGUUGGUGGGGUGAUGUCCUACCAAGGCGGUGACGGGUAGCCGGCCUGAGAGGGUGGACGGUCACACUGGGACUGAGACACGGCCCAGACUCCUACGGGAGGCAGCAGUGGGGAAUAUUGCACAAUGGGCGCAAGCCUGAUGCAGCGACGCCGCGUGAGGGAUGGAGGCCUUCGGGUUGUGAACCUCUUUCGCCAGUGAAGCAGGCCUGCCUCGUUUGUGGGUGGGUUGACGGUAGCUGGAUAAGAAGCGCCGGCUAACUACGUG
This 494-nucleotide ribosomal RNA is filed under the name uncultured bacterium. Its description in RNAcentral is "partial 16S ribosomal RNA". It matches the Rfam family "Bacterial small subunit ribosomal RNA", at positions 28 to 507 of the family's 1533-position model. The record is from RNAcentral.